GCCUACGGGGCGCAGCAGUGAGGAAUAUUGGUCAAUGGACGUAAGUCUGAACCAGCCAUGCCGCGUGCAGGAAGACGGCUCUAUGAGUUGUAAACUGCUUUUGUACAAGGGUAAACCUGAAUACGUGUAUUCAGCUGAAAGUACCGUACGAAUAAGGAUCGGCUAACUCCGUGCCAGCAGCCGCGGUAAUACGGAGGAUCCAAGCGUUAUCCGGAUUGAUUGGGUUUAAAGGGUGCGUAGGCGGAUUGAUAAGUUAGAGGUGAAGUGUACGAGCCCAACUCG
RNAcentral lists this ribosomal RNA (282 nucleotides) under uncultured bacterium. RNAcentral describes it as "partial 16S ribosomal RNA". It matches the Rfam family "Bacterial small subunit ribosomal RNA", at positions 337 to 616 of the family's 1533-position model. The record is from RNAcentral.